This 227-nucleotide non-coding RNA is filed under the name Desulfofundulus australicus DSM 11792. RNAcentral's name for it is "23S rRNA. Bacterial LSU". It matches the Rfam family "Bacterial large subunit ribosomal RNA", at positions 2379 to 2605 of the family's 2925-position model. The record is from RNAcentral. Lineage: Bacteria; Bacillati; Bacillota; Clostridia; Eubacteriales; Peptococcaceae.
GACUUACAGGUCGAGCUGGGACGAAAGUCGGGCUUAGUGAUCCGGCGGUUGCGAGUGGAAGCGCCGUCGCUCAACGGAUAAAAGCUACCCCGGGGAUAACAGGCUUAUCUCCCCCAAGAGUUCACAUCGACGGGGAGGUUUGGCACCUCGAUGUCGGCUCAUCGCAUCCUGGGGCUGGAGCAGGUCCCAAGGGUUGGGCUGUUCGCCCAUUAAAGCGGUACGUGAGC